GUGAAGCAGAAGGACUGUGAGUUGACAGUGACACAAACUGAACUGUCGUGGACAAUUAGAGACCAGAAGAAAAAUGGUACAUUUUCUGUACGUUGUCGGGACCUGGUGGCAGUCAAAACAAAAGAGGAUGUAAAGAAUAAAGACUCUACAGUCUUGACGGUUGUUUACGUGAAACAGCGAAAGGAUUUUGUUUUGAAACGCUGUGAAGAGUCAUUUAGUGGCAGUAAUGGAGUGUGCUUGGCAGUGGCGAAAACCCUUCAGGAUGGAAUUAACCAAUGUGCUGACAGGCCAAAGCGUCUCCUUGUAUUGAUAAAUCCUAUCUCCGGGUUUUCAAGAGGAGAGAAGAAUUACAAAAACAUUUGCGCCCCUAUUUUUGAGGAAGCCGGCAUUCAAACUGAUG
Molecule: long non-coding RNA, 400 nt
Organism: Dreissena polymorpha
Lineage: Eukaryota; Metazoa; Mollusca; Bivalvia; Myida; Dreissenidae
Exons: 3
Source: RefSeq, a predicted model, not a curated record